CCUUCUUCCAAGUGGAGGGCCCACAGUUUUCCUCAGGUUUUUAAAGGGGUCUGUGGCCUAAAAUAUUAAGAACCACUGCUUUAUUGAUGGGGGGAGGUCAUAUGAGAUGCUUCAAAGUAAAUAGUAAAUAUCCUUAUAUUGGUAGAAUCGAGGCCCUUUAAGAUGAUUUCCCACGAAUCAGCGCUCCUGGUUCAAAAAAGAAAGUCUGAGAAUACAGUCAUGAAGCACAUGCCAUUUUAUGCCACCCCCAUCAGCUGGCGCCUCUUGAAUGAUUGCGUGCUCAAUACAAGUCCUGCUGGUUACCAAAGGAGCCACGUCUCCCAGGUCGUGCUUGGAGGCGUGCUUCGCAGCCUUGGAUCCCAAAGAAGGAAGGCUUUGGAUGUCCUGCAGCGUGAGCUUCUGGUCCUUCCAGAGAAAUCAGCUCUGUGGCCAAAUCCAAAAUGUCUAUGACUUCCGUUUUGUCACUCCAGCUCCUAAAAAUUCCUGAAAAGUGCUAUGGGAUUUGUGCACCGUCUCUUUCAAUUUUUUUCGUCAGCCAGAACCUUGCAGUUUGGCGUUUCCCUGUUAAAUCCUGAACUUUCUCGUGCAGCUCAAUGGUAAGCACUCGUUUUGCCAGAGACUCGUUAGAAGCCCUCUCCCUAGCACCCCUGUGGGCAGUGGUGUUGAGGGAUAUCCCUUCCUCUGUCACCACACAGAACAUCCUGGGGGACUGUGUGACCAGGUCACUGAUCUUGUCUGGCCGUGUUGGUACCAGAAGUCACAUAGUGAUAUAAACAAAGCACAGGGGAACAGAAAGGCAGACAUGUGACACCCUUACCAUCCCGGAGGGGUUGAACACGUUUCUGCGUCAGAAAAGUUGACUGAAUGGCCUAAAUGUUGUGAAAUGUCACAGGUGGUUUUUUUUUUUUUUUUUUUUCAGUGAGAGUGUCAAAGCCACAAAAUUUUUCAUCAACAUAGGAAAGAAAAACAAUGAAUUACUGGUGUAGUUCAACAGAUGACUGCCGUGCCUUCAUUGACCCAUCCUUAUUUGGCUGCUAAGAGAUGCUAAGGUCUCUGCAGGUCUCCCUUGGACUCUUCCCUCCAGUACGUGGCUUCUUCGCGGAUGCCCUGACUACUGAGUGGGAGGGAACUUGAUCCAGUUAAAAUAGACCUACUUCCCUCCUUCGCCCCAGCCUCCUCAUCCCCAAUUUGUACCGUUAUAUAACAGAUGAGGACACUCUUUGACUUGGGAGAGAGAGAAAAAAUAUUUGUGGGGGUAUAGAAGUGACCUUUGUCAUUUGAUUAGCAUGUCCCAAAUGUUAAGAGGACUAUUGGGCCAGCCAGUCAGCAUCAAUCUAAAAGGUGCAGUCAACCAUCGCUGGAGUAUAGUACAGUACUAGAGUUGAACGACCCCAGCCAGGUGAAAAUACCAACUCGGUGAAAUAUUAAAUGGGUUCUGCCACCACCAAAG
Molecule: long non-coding RNA, 1450 nt
Filed under: Felis catus (domestic cat)
Lineage: Eukaryota; Metazoa; Chordata; Mammalia; Carnivora; Felidae
Description: lncRNA (ENSFCAG00000053762.1)
Source: RNAcentral